This is a long non-coding RNA of Coturnix japonica (Japanese quail), 1547 nucleotides long. NCBI's taxonomy places the organism in Eukaryota, Metazoa, Chordata, Aves, Galliformes, Phasianidae. The record is from Ensembl.
GCUGCUUGAAAUCAAUUUUAAGCUGAAAUGAAUGAAAUAAGCUGCUCCUCUGCAUGGAUCUGGUGGGUUUACUGGUCUCAUUGUAAGGUACAACUUCCCUGUCUAUUUUUUUUUUUUUCCUGAGGGGAAGGAAGGAAGGGUGGGAGGCAAAAUCUGGCAAGAAAACUGCUGCUGUCAGCCUGAGUGGGGGAUGCUGUUGUCUUUACCACAGAGGGGGGAUCCGAAAAGCAGAAAUGAUAUUACCACUGGGCCAGCCAUCAAGCAAGGACGAUGCUCCCAGCACCAAGGGUACCAUUGUCACGUCAAGCGGCUGGCUGCCAGCUGGAUUCUGUUCUCAGCACUCUGCUCCUCAACUCUUUCCAACAGGGGACAUCUUGCUGGCUCUGGUUUUGCAGGUUUCUACCAUCAUGACUCUGAAGAUCUUUCUUCCAGCCCAGAACUUCAAGGAUGUAAAAUGAAUGUGACCCUGUCCAAGGCUAUUGUCCCAGGAAGUGGUGAAAUGAUGAGGAUGUCCCAGGUCAGCUGCAGUACAGCACCACAGAGAUAAGGAGUGGUGAUCAAUAGGGUUGGUUUCCUCCUUGCUGGAGGAGGCAGGGAGGUUUGGAGCUGGCUGCCAUGAGUUGUUCGGCUAUUUUGAGUCUUACCCAGGGCUUGCAGCACUGGAGCUGAAUUUUCUCUCCUUGUUGUUGUCGUGAGGUUGAAUUUGAGAGCAAAACAUGUCACAGAAGGAGGCACCUCCCACUCUGGCAGGUCCCAGCACAAUCCAAAUCCCCCACCUUGACGUCUGCUCAUGUCACCAGGAGCUGGAGGCAGCUCCAUCACCAAUCCACCACAACUUCAUUUGAAAUAACAUUAUUUUUCCCCUUGAAAUAUCUCUACUUCUCCAGGGAGGACCUGAAUUUGUUAGAGAAGAGGCAAAAAAAACAAAUCCUGAUCCAGAAUAGAUAAGGACAAAGGUUUCCCUGCACAUCCAAAGCACUCUGAGUUGAGCCCUAGGACAUCCAUAUGAUCUACAAGGCUCAGGCCAAGGUGAGGAUAAUCCAUUACAAAAUCCCAGCAGAAGCUAAUGCUAAACAGUCCCUGUGGCACCCAACCCUGUCAAGGCUUUGCCAAAUGCUGGAGGAACUGACCACCCCAUCCUUUCACACCAGGGCUGAGAUGAGGAGUAAUUCAUGAAGCUUCUCUGUUCUCCCUCCAUAUAAUUUUUUAGUGCUUGCCACACUUGUUUGCUUUCUCCAGUAGUCAGAUGAUGACACAAACCACUAAAUAACAUCCUUAAAAAUGUGCUUGUUUCUCUUUAACUCUCUUUAAACUACACAGAAGAGUUUAAUUAUGACUUAGCUCUAGCAGUUGCUGCUACUGGCUGUGUAUCUUAUAGUAAAUAUGUCAGUGCUUGGUGAGGAACUGAGUGCAUACCCGGCCAGUGGAUGCACGAUCUCUGCUCUGUACCCUCUCCUGCUCUGCACCUCCGAUAUCACAGAGAGAUGUGCAUUAAGAACAUUGAGAUUGCUUAGCACCAUUUAUUCUGCAUAAUUUUUCCCACCAGC